This 126-nucleotide non-coding RNA is filed under the name Caballeronia choica. RNAcentral describes it as "Burkholderia choica SAH sequence". It matches the Rfam family "SAH (S-adenosyl-L-homocysteine) riboswitch aptamer". The record is from RNAcentral. Lineage: Bacteria; Pseudomonadati; Pseudomonadota; Betaproteobacteria; Burkholderiales; Burkholderiaceae.
CGCUUCCGAGGAGCGUUGCGACGGUUCCGCAAGAGGAAACCGCCAGGCUCGGAGCAUUCAAUCCGGACGGUUCGAAAGCGCGAUAAGCGCUCAUUGAUCCGCCGCAUCGAACGGCGCUCACGUCAA